CAUUAGAUGGCUGAAAGUUUAAGUAAUGGAAUUUUAAACCAUAUUAUAGUAAUUAACGAUUACUUCUAAUGA
Molecule: transfer RNA, 72 nt
Filed under: Cryptocephalus mystacatus
Lineage: Eukaryota; Metazoa; Arthropoda; Insecta; Coleoptera; Chrysomelidae
Description: tRNA-Lys
Source: RNAcentral